GACGAACGCUGGCGGCGUGCCUAAUACAUGCAAGUCGAACGAGAGCAACCGGUGCUUGCACUGGUCAAUCUAGUGGCGAACGGGUGAGUAACACGUGGGUAGCCUGCCCAUCAGAGGGGGAUAACAUCCGGAAACGGAUGCUAAAACCGCAUAGGUCUUCGAACCGCAUGGUUUGAAGAGGAAAAGAGGCGCAAGCUUCUGCUGAUGGAUGGACCCGCGGUGCAUUAGCUAGUUGGUGAGGUAACGGCUCACCAAGGCCGUGAUGCAUAGCCGACCUGAGAGGGUGAUCGGCCACAUUGGGACUGAGACACGGCCCAAACUCCUACGGGAGGCAGCAGUAGGGAAUCUUCCGCAAUGGACGCAAGUCUGACGGAGCAACGCCGCGUGAGUGAAGAAGGUUUUCGGAUCGUAAAACUCUGUUGUUAGAGAAGAACAAGUGCUAGAGUAACUGUUAGCGCCUUGACGGUAUCUAACCAGAAAGCCACGGCUAACUACGUG
RNAcentral lists this ribosomal RNA (498 nucleotides) under uncultured bacterium. RNAcentral describes it as "partial 16S ribosomal RNA". It matches the Rfam family "Bacterial small subunit ribosomal RNA", at positions 28 to 507 of the family's 1533-position model. The record is from RNAcentral.